CCUAAGAGUCGCUUGGAGGUUGUGCCCUUGAGGCGUGGCUUCCGGAGCUAACGCGUUAAGUCGACCGCCUGGGGAGUACGGCCGCAAGGUUAAAACUCAAAUGAAUUGACGGGGGCCCGCACAAGCGGUGGAGCAUGUGGUUUAAUUCGAUGCAACGCGAAGAACCUUACCUGGUCUUGACAUCCACAGAACUUUCCAGAGAUGGAUUGGUGCCUUCGGGAACUGUGAGACAGGUGCUGCAUGGCUGUCGUCAGCUCGUGUUGUGAAAUGUUGGGUUAAGUCCCGCAACGAGCGCAACCCUUAUCCUUUGUUGCCAGCGGUCCGGCCGGGAACUCAAAGGAGACUGCCAGUGAUAAACUGGAGGAAGGUGGGGAUGACGUCAAGUCAUCAUGGCCCUUACGACCAGGGCUACACACGUGCUACAAUGGCGCAUACAAAGAGAAGCGACCUCGCGAGAGCAAGCGGACCUCAUAAAGUGCGUCGUAGUCCGGAUUGGAGUCUGCAACUCGACUCCAUGAAGUCGGAAUCGCUAGUAAUCGUGGAUCAGAAUGCCACGGUGAAUACGUUCCCGGGCCUUGUACACACCGCCCGUCACACCAUGGGAGUGGGUUGCAAAAGAAGUAGGUAGCUUAACCUUCGGGAGGGCGCUUACCACUUUGUGAUUCAUGACUGGGGUGAAGUCGUAACAAGGUAACCGAGGAGUUU
Molecule: ribosomal RNA, 705 nt
Filed under: Enterobacter sp.
Lineage: Bacteria; Pseudomonadati; Pseudomonadota; Gammaproteobacteria; Enterobacterales; Enterobacteriaceae
Description: bacterial SSU rRNA
Rfam family: Bacterial small subunit ribosomal RNA
Source: RNAcentral